This 497-nucleotide ribosomal RNA is filed under the name uncultured bacterium. RNAcentral describes it as "partial 16S ribosomal RNA". It matches the Rfam family "Bacterial small subunit ribosomal RNA", at positions 28 to 507 of the family's 1533-position model. The record is from RNAcentral.
GACGAACGCUGGCGGCGUGCCUAAUACAUGCAAGUUGAGCGCUGAAGGUUGGUACUUGUACCAACUGGAUGAGCAGCGAACGGGUGAGUAACGCGUGGGGAAUCUGCCUUUGAGCGGGGGACAACAUUUGGAAACGAAUGCUAAUACCGCAUAAAAACUUUAAACACAAGUUUUAAGUUUGAAAGAUGCUAUUGCAUUACCCAAAGAUGAUCCCGCGUUGUAUUAGCUAGUUGGGGAGGUAAAGGCUCAACAAGGCGAAGGUACAUAGCCGAACUGAGAGGGUGAUCCGCCACAUUGGGAAUGGAACAAGGCCCAAGACUCUACGGGGGGGAGCAAGAGGGGAUCUUCGGGAAAGGAGGAAAGUCUGAACGGGGCACGCCGGGGGAGGGAAGAAGGUUUUCGGAUCGGAAAACUCCGUUGGUAGAGAAGAACGUAGGUGGGAGUGGAAAGCGCAUCAAGUGACGGUAACUACUCAGAAAGAGACGGCUAACUACGUG